Molecule: ribosomal RNA, 253 nt
Filed under: uncultured bacterium
Lineage: Bacteria
Description: partial 16S ribosomal RNA
Rfam family: Bacterial small subunit ribosomal RNA
Source: RNAcentral
UACGUAGGGUGCAAGCGUUGUCCGGAAUUAUUGGGCGUAAAGAGCUCGUAGGCGGUUCGUCGCGUCGGCUGUGAAAUCCCGAGGCUCAACCUCGGGUCUGCAGUCGAUACGGGCGGACUGGAGUACUGCAGGGGAGACUGGAAUUCCUGGUGUAGCGGUGAAAUGCGCAGAGAUCGGAAAGAACACCAACGGCGAAAGCACUCUGCUGGGCCGACACUGACACUGAGAGACGAAAGCUAGGGGAGCGAAUGGG